RNAcentral lists this ribosomal RNA (64 nucleotides) under Ascomycota sp. 3428. RNAcentral describes it as "partial 28S ribosomal RNA". The record is from RNAcentral. Lineage: Eukaryota; Fungi; Ascomycota.
AACGUCGACCUCGGAUCAGGUAGGGAUACCCGCUGAACUUAAGCAUAUCAAUAAGGCGGAGGAA